GCGGGUGUAGCUCAACGGCAGAGCGCUUCCUAACCCAGGUCGAGACGGUGGUUCGACUCCAUCUCCCCGCU
This 71-nucleotide transfer RNA is filed under the name Rugositalea oryzae. Its description in RNAcentral is "Rhodoplanes sp. Z2-YC6860 tRNA". It matches the Rfam family "tRNA". Rfam says of the family: Transfer RNA (tRNA) molecules are approximately 80 nucleotides in length. Their secondary structure includes four short double-helical elements and three loops (D, anti-codon, and T loops). Further hydrogen bonds mediate the characteristic L-shaped molecular structure. tRNAs have two regions of fundamental functional importance: the anti-codon, which is responsible for specific mRNA codon recognition, and the 3' end, to which the tRNAs corresponding amino acid is attached (by aminoacyl-tRNA synthetases). tRNAs cope with the degeneracy of the genetic code in two manners: having more than one tRNA (with a specific anti-codon) for a particular amino acid; and 'wobble' base-pairing, i.e. permitting non-standard base-pairing at the 3rd anti-codon position. The record is from Rfam by way of RNAcentral. Lineage: Bacteria; Pseudomonadati; Pseudomonadota; Alphaproteobacteria; Hyphomicrobiales; Nitrobacteraceae.